GAUGAACGCUGGCGGCGUGCCUGAUACAUGCAAGUCGAGCGAACGGACGAGAAGCUUGCUUCUCUGAUGUUAGCGGCGGACGGGUGAGUAACACGUGGAUAACCUACCUAUAAGACUGGGAUAACUUCGGGAAACCGGAGCUAAUACCGGAUAAUAUUUUGAACCGCAUGGUUCAAAAGUGAAAGACGGUCUUGCUGUCACUUAUAGAUGGAUCCGCGCUGCAUUAGCUAGUUGGUAAGGUAACGGCUUACCAAGGCAACGAUGCAUAGCCGACCUGAGAGGGUGAUCGGCCACACUGGAACUGAGACACGGUCCAGACUCCUACGGGAGGCAGCAGUAGGGAAUCUUCCGCAAUGGGCGAAAGCCUGACGGAGCAACGCCGCGUGAGUGAUGAAGGUCUUCGGAUCGUAAAACUCUGUUAUUAGGGAAGAACAUAUGUGUAAGUAACUGUGCUCAUCUUGACGGUACCUAAUCAGAAAGCCACGGCUAACUACGUG
RNAcentral lists this ribosomal RNA (497 nucleotides) under uncultured bacterium. RNAcentral describes it as "partial 16S ribosomal RNA". It matches the Rfam family "Bacterial small subunit ribosomal RNA", at positions 28 to 507 of the family's 1533-position model. The record is from RNAcentral.